GACGAACGCUGGCGGCGUGCUUAACACAUGCAAGUCGAACGGAAAGGCCCUGCGUUUGUGGGGUGCUCGAUUGGCGAACGGGUGAGUAACACGUGAGUAACCUGCCCUUGACUUUGGGAUAACUUCAGGAAACUGGGGCGAAUACCGGAUAGGAGCUCCUGCUGCAUGGGGGGGGUUGGAAAGUUUCGGCGUUUGGGGAUGGACUCGCGGCUUAUCAGCUUGUUGGUGGGGUAGUGGCUUACCAAGGCUUUGACGGGUAGCCGGCCUGAGAGGGUGACCGGCCACACUGGGACUGAGGUACGGCCCAGACUGGUACGGGAGGGAGCAGUGGGGAAUCUUGCCCAAUGGGCGGCAGGCUGAUGAAGCAACGCCGCGUGCGGGAUGACGGCCUUAGGGUUGUAAACCGCUUUCGCCUGUGACGAAGCGUGAGUGACGGUAAUGGGUAAAGAAGCCCCGGCUAACUACGUG
RNAcentral lists this ribosomal RNA (468 nucleotides) under uncultured bacterium. Its description in RNAcentral is "partial 16S ribosomal RNA". It matches the Rfam family "Bacterial small subunit ribosomal RNA", at positions 28 to 507 of the family's 1533-position model. The record is from RNAcentral.